Molecule: ribosomal RNA, 465 nt
Filed under: Vreelandella stevensii
Lineage: Bacteria; Pseudomonadati; Pseudomonadota; Gammaproteobacteria; Oceanospirillales; Halomonadaceae
Description: partial 16S ribosomal RNA
Rfam family: Bacterial small subunit ribosomal RNA
Source: RNAcentral
CCUACGGUGGGCAGCAGUGGGGAAUAUUGGACAAUGGGCGAAAGCCUGAUCCAGCCAUGCCGCGUGUGUGAAGAAGGCCUUCGGGUUGUAAAGCACUUUCAGUGGGGAAGAAAGCCUUGGGGCUAAUACCCUCGAGGAAGGACAUCACCCACAGAAGAAGCACCGGCUAACUCCGUGCCAGCAGCCGCGGUAAUACGGAGGGUGCGAGCGUUAAUCGGAAUUACUGGGCGUAAAGCGCGCGUAGGCGGUCUGAUAAGCCGGUUGUGAAAGCCCCGGGCUCAACCUGGGAACGGCAUCCGGAACUGUCAGGCUAGAGUGCAGGAGAGGAAGGUAGAAUUCCCGGUGUAGCGGUGAAAUGCGUAGAGAUCGGGAGGAAUACCAGUGGCGAGGGCGGCCUUCUGGACUGACACUGACGCUGAGGUGCGAAAGCGUGGGUAGCAAACAGGAUUAGAUACCCGAGUAGUC